This 412-nucleotide ribosomal RNA is filed under the name uncultured bacterium. RNAcentral's name for it is "bacterial SSU rRNA". It matches the Rfam family "Bacterial small subunit ribosomal RNA", at positions 364 to 797 of the family's 1533-position model. The record is from RNAcentral.
UCCUGGGGCGAGUAUGACGGAGCACGCCGCGUGAGGGAGGAAUGUCUGUGGAUUGUAAACCUCUUUUCUCUGGGAAGAAGAUCUGACGGUACCUGAGGAAUCAGCAUCGGCUAACUCCGUGCCAGCAGCCGCGGUAAGACGGAGGAUGCAAGCGUUAUCCGGAAUUAUUGGGCGUAAAGCGUCCGUAGGCGGUCACUUAAGUCAGUUGUUAAAGACUGCAGCUCAACUGUGGGAGAGCAACUGAAACUGGGAGACUAGAGUAUGGUAGGGGUAGAGGGAAUUCCUAGUGUAGCGGUGAAAUGCGUAGAUAUUAGGAAGAACACCAGUGGCGAAGGCGCUCUACUGGGCCAAGACUGACGCUGAUGGACGAAAGCUAGGGGAGCGAAAGGGAUUAGAUACCCCCUGUAGUCCA